AGCCACUCGCUCACCUCCUCCGGCAUCGGAGGGACUCAUGGCUGCGGUGGCCCCGCGGGGACGGCAGUGGAGCGAAUCCAAAGCGUUCGGUCGGGCGGUGAGGCUGCUGCAGCGCCUGGAAGAGCAAUGCGGGGACCCCCGGCUCGCCUCGAGUCCCCCCUCGCUGCGGGACCUGCUGCCCCGCACCGCGCAGCUGCUGCGCGAGGUGGCGCACGCCCGGCGGGCAGGCGGCGGAGACGGCCCCGAGGGUCCCGGUGGUGCGAAGGACUUUCUCGUGGUCUAUCUCGCUAACCUGGAGGCCAAGAGCAGGCAGGUGGCGGCACUGCUGCCACCCCGGGGCCGGAAGACUACCAACGACGAGCUCUUCCGGGAGGGCUCCAGACUCAGGCGACAGCUGGCCAAGCUGACCCUCAUCUUCAGCCACAUGUGCGCGGAGCUGGGCGCACUCUUCCCUGGGGGCAAAUACUGUGGACACACGUACCAGCUCACCAAGGUCCCGGCCCACACUUUCUGGAGAGACCAUUGCGGAGCCCGGUGUGUGCUGCCCUGGGCUGAGUUUGAGCUGCUUCUGUGCCUCUGCCACCCCGUGGAGCCUGGCUGCACCACCCUGGCCUUGCGCUCCACUAUUGACCUCACCUGCAGCGGCCAUGUGUCCAUGUUCGAGUUUGACAUCUUCACCAGGCUCUUCCAGCCAUGGCCAACACUCCUCAAGAACUGGCAGCUCCUGGCCGUCAACCACCCAGGCUACAUGGCCUUCCUCACUUACGAUGAGGUCCGAGCACGUCUGCAGACCUACAGAGACAAGCCAGGCAGCUACGUCUUCCGGCCCAGCUGCACUCGCCCGGGGCAGUGGGCCAUCGGAUUCGUGAGCUCAGAUGGCGACAUCCUGCAGACCAUCCCUGUCAACAAACCUCUGUUCCAGGCACUCCUGGAAGGACAAAAGGAAGGCUUCUACCUCUACCCAGAUGGGAAGAACCACAACCCGGACCUGACCGAACUCUGCCAGAUGAAACCCCAUCAGCGUGUCCACGUGUCGGAGGAGCAGCUGCAGCUGUACUGGGCCAUGGACUCCACGUUUGAGCUCUGCAAGAUCUGUGCCGAGAGCAACAAGGACGUGAAGGUGGAGCCGUGCGGGCACCUGCUCUGUAGCCGCUGCCUGGCUACCUGGCAGCACUCAGACAGCCAGACCUGCCCCUUCUGCCGCUGCAAGAUCAAGGGCCAAGCGGCUGUGAUUAUCCAUGAGCUCAAAGCCAGCGCCACUGCUGAGGACUCAGAGGACAGCAAUGACAACGGAGGGGAGCUGCAGCAGGUGACCCCCUCACCUCCUCCCCUGCCCCCUCGGCUGGAUCUGCCCCCUGAGAGUCCGAGAAGCAAAUACCAGCUGAAGGUGGCGCCUCUGGCACUCCCCAGACUUCGAGCCCCUCUAACCUUGCCAAGAUUUUGGACUGAGGCCUCAGCCUCAUUGGAAAUCACCUCCAGCCCCCAGGCCAGGGAGGGCACCAGAGGAAACUCCUAAAGGGAAAGUCUCCCCUCCAUCUGCCCCUGAGGGACCCACGAAGGCCUGGAUGCCAGAAUCCUCACCUAGAAUCUCAGCUGCUCGGACUCUUGAGGAAGGUGGAAGGCAGGGUGCUGAUGAGAGGGUGCCUAGCGUCCCAAGCAGUAGGUACAUGAGCCAGGGCCAGAGCAACAGGGGAGUGGGUGCCUGGGGUCACUGUGCGUAAGCUUGUCCCGGGGAGCGCUUUUGUCUACGCGCGAGUUUCCACGUGCGUCCUGCGAUGAUCUAGUGCGGGUGGGGUUUGCACGUGAGCCUGAGUGCUUCUGCGUUUGAGCCUUGCAAGCCUUCCCUGAGUGCCUGCUCCGAGUCUGGCCUUUGCAGGGCGGUGUUGGGGACACAACAGUGACCGAAACAGCCCUGGCCCUCCCCUAACCGGCUCCCGGUCCAGUGGGGGAGACAGACUUGUCCCCAGACAGAGAUGACCCAGAAUGUGCAGGGCUGGGGUGGGGGAGCCCAGAGGAGGCGCCUGACUCGGCCUAGGGGAGCAGAGAGGGCUUCCUGGAGGAGGGGAUGGUGCGGCUAAUACUGAAAGGUCACCUCUCCCAAUAUAACAAUUGCUCUCCUGUAUGGACAAGGUAGCCUUGACCAGCCUAACCAAUAACUCAGAGGCUGACCUGUAAUCUAAGACUUCCCUGGUGUCUGACCGGUGACCACCCCACCCCCAGCUGAUCAGAGGCCCGGGGAACCUCUCCCAGCAUGACCAGCUGCCCCCUAUUCUGACCAGUGUUGAGGGCUAGCUUCUCCCAGGUAACCAGUGAAAUCUCACCCCCGUCCCCCAGCCAGCAUCUAGGGAUUUUGUCCCAGUCAGGCCUGGUUUGUGAGGAGCUGUGCACAGUCUGAUCUGUGAUCCCAAGUCUGACCUGUGACCCUUCCUUCUGACCCA
Molecule: RNA transcript, 2438 nt
Organism: Orcinus orca (killer whale)
Lineage: Eukaryota; Metazoa; Chordata; Mammalia; Artiodactyla; Delphinidae
Gene: CBLC
Gene name: Cbl proto-oncogene C
Exons: 12
Source: RefSeq, a predicted model, not a curated record